This 253-nucleotide ribosomal RNA is filed under the name uncultured bacterium. Its description in RNAcentral is "partial 16S ribosomal RNA". It matches the Rfam family "Bacterial small subunit ribosomal RNA", at positions 524 to 776 of the family's 1533-position model. The record is from RNAcentral.
UACGUAGGGGGCAAGCGCUGUCCGGAUUUAUUGGGCGUAAAGAGCGUGUAGGCGGCCAGACAGGUCCGUUGUGAAAACUAGAGGCUUAACCUCUAGACGUCGAUGGAAACCGUCUGGCUAGAGUCCGGAAGAGGAGAAUGGAAUUCCUGGUGUAGCGGUGAAAUGCGCAGAUAUCAGGAAGAACACCCGUGGCUAAGGCGGUUCUCUAGUACGGUACUGACGCUGAGACGCGAAAGCGUGGGGAGCGAACAGG